UCGAGUUGCGUGGUUGUGCGGAGUUAUAUUUACCAAAUCGUUUUCAAAAUUAAAUCAAUAUGUCAAUAUGGCUACUGGGUGUAAAAGAUAAAUCUUAUUUUAAUGAGUUUUAGAUAAUUUUAGUUGUAUUUCUUUGUAAUUUUGUGUUGUACAAAGAUUAAUUUAACAUUUUCUCUGGAAGUAUUAAUUUAGAAAGAUAAUAUGCCUCAUUGGUGUUGUGUUUUGAAGUGUUAGGUAAAUGCAAAGUAAUUGUGAUAAAGUCAAGAUAAAGUUCACUUUUAAACUGAACUAAAUAAGGUAUCUGAGAGACAACAAUGGUUAAAUGCAAUACAAUGUACAGGUUUUACUAGCGAAAUGAAAAUUUUCCUGUCCUGUCUGCUGUAAUCAUUUUAUAUCUGGAAAACCAGCUGACUUAAUCGAUAAUAACAAUCUCCAGAUUGGGUUCCUUCAAUAAAUAUGGUCUAUAAACACAAUGAAAUAAGUUCCCCAAAAUCUAAAAUGGAGUGGUAUCAAAGGAGAAUUAAAGGGAAAAAUAUUCAUAUUGAAAUUAUUUAUAAGGCACUGGACUGUCUUAAAUUCUACAAUAAUACUAGAAUCAGCUGAGAGAAGUGGUCUACAAAAAACCAGGAAGGAAACGGAAUAUGUGGCUACGAAAGGCAAAAGAAAGGUUUACAAAGCAAAUGUGACACAUUUUUUUGAAAUAUUUAGGAAUAUCAGUAAAUUGCAUUAAAAAAAUGUAUGAAAAGAUUUUGUUCAAUAAAAAUGUUUAUAUUUAUCAAGGAUGUAUUAUUUGGUAUGGCCACAUAUCGUCAGUGAUGUAAUAAUACAUCCUAUCUGUUUUUUCAUGAGUUUUGUAAGAGAGACUAAAAACUUGUCUUAGGGUCACCUCCUGUUUUCAUAUAUUUUUUGACUUGUUUUGUAGUAAAUUAAACUAUCUAUGAACUACAAAACAAGUCAAAACUUACAUAUGAACACAGGAGGUGACCUUAAAACAUGUUUUUCCAUCUCUCAUACAAAACUCAUGAAAAAACAGAUAGGAGGUAUUGUCACAUCAGCAAGGAUGUACAGUGAUGAGUGCCCUAAUCACCGGCAAAAUAUGGGCAACAUAUUUAGUUGUGAGAUAAAAAGAAAUGAAACUAGUCGAGCUGGGAAAUUUAGCGAAAUUAACCUUUAAAUUUACGUUAUAUUGAUCCCACCUUUACACAUAUCGGAGGAGUAUGUCAACUAAAACUGUCACUGUGACAGUGGUAGUUUCCAAACUCGUCUGAUACGUCUGAAGGUGGUACACAAUCAAUACAAUCUAAAUGUAUAAGUUAAUAUCGCUAAAUUUCCCAGCUCGACUAGUUUCAUGUCUUUUUAUCUCACUACUUAAUACAUCUUUUGUGCUAUUUUGCCGGUUAUUGAGCGCUCAUCACUGUAUUUCUGGUAUAUCCAGGGAAUGUCUACAAAAUAUAUUUUGAAUGUCCAGAGAACAUUCGUGGACAUUCAUGGAAUGUUCCAAUAAGACAUUCAGGUAAUGUUUAAAAUGCUGACACAGGAUUUUCCUGGGAUGUUCAGGGAACAU
Molecule: long non-coding RNA, 1564 nt
Organism: Diabrotica virgifera virgifera (western corn rootworm)
Lineage: Eukaryota; Metazoa; Arthropoda; Insecta; Coleoptera; Chrysomelidae
Exons: 3
Source: RefSeq, a predicted model, not a curated record